AUGUGUAUUGAUGUAUAUACAUGUACUUCAGGUAACAAGAAAAGAACACAAGUCAUAAAGAGAAAACACACCAAAAUGUACAAUAUAGGAGGGAGGCAGUGCUUGAAGUUGUCGUGGUUAUCUCACGGGCGGGUUCGCGAGACGACAGAUGCCAUGGGGUGGCUUGAUGUGAGGGCAAGACUGCUGUGGAGAUCAGGGGACGAGAUUGGGCAAGCAGCACACGGUGAUUUACCCAGGUUCAGAGCUCUCCGGAGAGAUAAUACCCCUGUAUACGUAGCAGUACAGAGUUGCUCCUGGAGCUGUACCCAGAGGAGGAGGAAGGAGGCUAGGAGCGCUCCUCUUCCCUGCCUCAUGUGUGAGUGUGUGGCGUGA
Molecule: ribosomal RNA, 372 nt
Filed under: Triticum aestivum (bread wheat)
Lineage: Eukaryota; Viridiplantae; Streptophyta; Magnoliopsida; Poales; Poaceae
Description: partial small subunit ribosomal RNA
Source: RNAcentral